GGGAAAAUGGCUGAGUGGUUGAAAGCAGCGGUUUACUAAACCGCCAGACCUUUACGGGUCUCGUGGGUUCGAAUCCCACUUUUCCCG
Molecule: transfer RNA, 87 nt
Filed under: Candidatus Yanofskybacteria bacterium RIFCSPLOWO2_02_FULL_47_9b
Lineage: Bacteria; Candidatus Yanofskyibacteriota
Description: tRNA-Ser
Rfam family: tRNA
About the family: Transfer RNA (tRNA) molecules are approximately 80 nucleotides in length. Their secondary structure includes four short double-helical elements and three loops (D, anti-codon, and T loops). Further hydrogen bonds mediate the characteristic L-shaped molecular structure. tRNAs have two regions of fundamental functional importance: the anti-codon, which is responsible for specific mRNA codon recognition, and the 3' end, to which the tRNAs corresponding amino acid is attached (by aminoacyl-tRNA synthetases). tRNAs cope with the degeneracy of the genetic code in two manners: having more than one tRNA (with a specific anti-codon) for a particular amino acid; and 'wobble' base-pairing, i.e. permitting non-standard base-pairing at the 3rd anti-codon position.
Source: RNAcentral